RNAcentral lists this transfer RNA (72 nucleotides) under Streptomyces phage Coruscant. RNAcentral describes it as "tRNA-Trp". It matches the Rfam family "tRNA". Rfam says of the family: Transfer RNA (tRNA) molecules are approximately 80 nucleotides in length. Their secondary structure includes four short double-helical elements and three loops (D, anti-codon, and T loops). Further hydrogen bonds mediate the characteristic L-shaped molecular structure. tRNAs have two regions of fundamental functional importance: the anti-codon, which is responsible for specific mRNA codon recognition, and the 3' end, to which the tRNAs corresponding amino acid is attached (by aminoacyl-tRNA synthetases). tRNAs cope with the degeneracy of the genetic code in two manners: having more than one tRNA (with a specific anti-codon) for a particular amino acid; and 'wobble' base-pairing, i.e. permitting non-standard base-pairing at the 3rd anti-codon position. The record is from RNAcentral. Lineage: Duplodnaviria; Heunggongvirae; Uroviricota; Caudoviricetes; Stanwilliamsviridae.
AUGCCCUUCGUAUAAUGGUAGUACGAGAGAUUCCAAACCUCUUGGCGUGGGUUCGAUUCCUACAGGGCGUGC